This 21-nucleotide non-coding RNA is filed under the name Caenorhabditis elegans. The record is from RNAcentral. Lineage: Eukaryota; Metazoa; Nematoda; Chromadorea; Rhabditida; Rhabditidae.
UUCAUAAUGUUUGAAAAUAUC